AGAAAGACAGAAUUCUAGUAACUAAUAAAUCUACAAUCAUAUAGAAAAUUUAAAAAAUCAAGAUUUGUGUAAGAGCACAUAAUAAAUUGUUAAUGCCAAUAACCAAUAAAUUAUAAGCUUUGCAACUUUUCAGAAAUUCUGAGAGCUUUGGCGUUACCGCCAAGCAGCACUGCGUGAAAGAUGAUUCUCAUUGGUCCGCUCUCAUUGUCACUCUCGAAUGUCACGUUAUAGCCGGACGUGAUCCGUGUACACACUAAGCGGGUACUCUCAAAUACCAGUUUUAUCCAGACUACCCC
Long non-coding RNA from Dendroctonus ponderosae (mountain pine beetle), 296 nucleotides. RefSeq lists it as uncharacterized. The record is from RefSeq and is a predicted model, not a curated record. The transcript has 2 exons. Lineage: Eukaryota; Metazoa; Arthropoda; Insecta; Coleoptera; Curculionidae.